Taeniopygia guttata (zebra finch) is the source of this 1716-nucleotide long non-coding RNA. Lineage: Eukaryota; Metazoa; Chordata; Aves; Passeriformes; Estrildidae. The record is from Ensembl.
CCCGCUCCCCACCCCCCGCUCCGCCCGGGGGAAAACCUCCGGGAACGAGCGGACCCAUCCCCGCCUCUCCUCCCCCUCCUCCUCCUCCUCCUCCCCCUUCUCCUUCUCGCCCGGUGCCGCCGGGAUGAGCCUCCCACGAUUUCGUUUCCAUUUCGGGCAACAACGAUUCCCGCUCCCCCGCCUCCCUCCGCCUCCCGCCAGCCCCGCGCUCGCUUUCCCCUCCGAGGAAAAAAACGAAAAAACGCCGAGAAAACGGCUAAAAGCAAAAAGCCCCACAGCCCCAAAUUCUCUUUGCUGGAAUCGGUUCAGUCCCCGCCGCUCCUCGGCGCCCGGUGAGUCCCCUCUGCUCCCCGCUUCUCUCCCGUCGAGCCCGGAGCGGUCCCCGCCGCUCCCCCGGUGCCCACCGCGCUCCGGCGCAUCCCGGUUUUCCCCGGCGGGUGCCGACAUUCCCGGUCCCCGCCGCUCCCGGCCGGUUCUCUCCAGCCCCCGAUGGAUAUUGGUGCUCCCCGGUCCCCGCCGCUCCCGGGAGCUGAUCCUCGAUUCUUGCCGGGAGCUGAUCCCCGGUCCCCGCCACUCCCGGGAGCUGAUCCCCGGUCCCCGCCACUCCCGUUCCCGGUGGGUCCCGCUCUCCCGGUUCAGCACCGGAUGAACCGGGACAGCUCCGCGCCCCUCAAGGUGCCGGGGGCUCCCCAAUCCCCAAUCCCCGAUUCCCGAUCACCAAUCCCCGAUCCCCAUUUCCCAAUCCCUGGUCCCCAAUCCCCCAUUCCCGGUCCCCAACCCCCGAUCCCCAAUCCUGAUCCCCAAUCCCCAAUCCUCAAUCCCCGGUCCCCAAUCCCCGAUUCUUGGUCCCAAAUCCUUGAUCCCCAAUCCCCAAUCCUCAAUUCCCGGUCCCCAAUCCCAAUCCCCAAUCCCCAAUCCUCAAUCCCCGAUCCCCAAUCCCCGAUUCCCGGUCCCAAAUCCUUGAUCCCCGAUCCCCAAUCCUCAAUCCCCGGUCCCCAAUCCCCAAUCCUCAAUUCCCAGUCCCCAAUCUCGAUCCCCGCUCCCCAGUCCCAAUUCCCGCUCCCCAGUCCCAAUCCCCGCUCCCCAAUCCCCAAUCCCCGAUCCCCAAUCCUCAAUCCCCGAUCCCCAGUCCCCAAUCCCGAUUCCCGGUCCCCAAUCCUCAAUCCCUUGUCCCCAGUCCCAAUCCCUGGUCCCCAAUCCUCAAUCCCCGAUCCCCAAUCCUCAAUCCCCGCUCCCCAAUCCUCAAUCCCCGAUCCCCAAUCCUCAAUCCCCGCUCCCCAAUCCCCAAUCCCCGCUCCCCAAUCCUCAAUCCCCGAUCCCCAAUCCUCAAUCCCCGGUCCCCAGUCCCAAUUCCCGCUCCCCAGUCCCAAUCCCCGCUCCCCAAUCCCGAUCCCCGCUCCCCAAUCCCAAUUCCCGAUCCCAAAUCCCCAAUCCCCGAUCCCCAAUCCUCAAUCCCCGAUCCCCAAUCCCAAUCCCCGCUCCCCAAUCCCCUAUUCCCGGUCCCCAAUCCCAAUCCCCGAUCCCAAAUCCCCUAUUCCCGGUCCCCAAUCCCCUCCCCUCGGUGUGUUUUGGGUAGAGUAGCCUUGUAGCCAAGUGUGUGUGUGCCGCAGACGCGCCCGGAGCCGGUGGCCGAGGUCGCCCCGGUGGCCCCGGUGGCCACCAGCCCGCUCGCCGCUCGCCCCGGUGCGGCGGAGAGCCGCGGGCGCUUUCUCUGCG